This 2103-nucleotide unclassified non-coding RNA is filed under the name Hevea brasiliensis (rubber tree). Lineage: Eukaryota; Viridiplantae; Streptophyta; Magnoliopsida; Malpighiales; Euphorbiaceae. The record is from RNAcentral.
AAAAAAAAAAAAAAAAAACCAUUUCAAUUAAAAGACACAACAUCCAAAUUCACAGGGUAAAUUUGUAAUUCACAUCCCCCAAAAUCAAUUUCACAAACACUGUUCCCGGAAUACUCACUUUUAUAUUAUAGUAUAUUAAUAUAUUAAUGAGUGCAAAUUCAAGCUCAAAUUCAAGAUCCUUGAUGAUAAUAUGACAAUAAGUAUUUAUUUCAUCGAAGGAAGCUUCUUAUCGUUUCACUAGUUAACCAAACUAUGCUGAAAAAAAAAAUGCAACUGAAAAAAUGCCCAUGCUUGAAAAUUUAAGCUUUCUGUGUCACAUCCUUAAGCUUACCAACUACCAGAAGAAUUCAGUGGCAAGAACAGAAUUAUCCCAUGAAAUGUGUGACAAGAUAUUGUUCUGCAGUAUUAACUCGUUACAACUGAUGCUUUUUCCUUUCCAAAUAAGAAUGGUUUCUCUGGAAGUUUAAUACUGCCCACACCAAGUGCCAUAAACCAAUUUCCGGCCACAAUGCAUCUGGAGAAUAUAACAGGCACUCACUAGACUGCCAAAGUAAGAAAUUACUCAGGCGGGACUCUCCAGAACUUCGAAUAAGGAUGUCAGGUUCAGGAGCUACUGCCAUGUACAUCUGUUUCUCAAUGUCUACUAGCUUUACAAUAGAACACUCUCCCUGCAUAUUCUUGUUCCCUUCGGAUGGAGUCACACCACUGCCAGUUCUAUUUUCCAUCACUGCUUGAUAGUUAUCCCAUUUAUCUUCAUAGGAUCCUCGGACAGCACGAACAACCAUGCCAUUUUUGUUGCCACCCCCUUCAACUCCUCUAGCCAGACAACUGCAGGUUACACUUGCUAUUGUUGCUUGAGAUUCACCUGCUUCAUCUUUCUGGGAUUCUAAAAAAACAAAUGGGAUGACUCCAUUAACCUUCUUAUUAUCCUCUACUUCUUCAAUGGCAUCAUUAUUAGCUUUACAAAAGCUCAAUGGUUGAAUUUCCUCCUGUUUAUUUUUACAUGAACCUUGAACAGCAUGUACAAUCUCAUCACGUGACGUAUAGGCUACGCAGAUUAAAAGGGUACAAUUGGUGUUUUUGGCAGUAGCUCUCAUAACCUUUUCUGCUGCAAUCCUCACAGGUUCACUCAAAAGUUUCAAAUUACCUAUAAAAUAUACUCUGAUUCCAUAUUGGUUCACAAUGCUUUCGUCCCUCAGCAAAUCCUCAAUCUUUUCUAGCAUCAGAUCCAUCAGGUCCUUAACUUCAUCAGGACUCCUUUUGAAAUUAUCAAUGCUAAAGGCGUAAAUUGUUACAUACUUCACUCCCAAUUCAUAGCAGUACUUAAGUAUGGAUAUAAGAGCUAAGAAUCCAGCCCUAUGACCUGCCCCUUUUUUCAUGUUCUCCUUCUUAGCAUACCUCCGGUUUCCAUCCAUUAUGAAGGCAAAAUGAUUGGGGAUGGGUCCCAUGGAUAACACACGAAAUAUGCAAAUUCUAAUAAAACUACCCAAAUUUCCAAACAGCUCACUCACUCUACUACUGCUAUGUUUUUCCAUUUAUUAAAACCAAAAUUGCUAGCGCCAAGCUGACCUGUUUAAGAGAAACAGAAAAUGAAACAAUUGAUAUUAGUGGACUCAGUUCCUCUAGAUUCACUGGAGAAUCAAUAAAGACCUUAUACAUGCACUAUACAGAAAAACAUGGAAGCAAUCACAUGACAUUAUGAAAGUUCUCACAUGAAAAUAUGAACAUAGUCAGAUGAAAAUCAUAAAAUUGCUCCAAUGUGCAAGAGCUCAUAUGUAAGUAUGGAAGUAGCUAACUGCUUCCAAUUGCAAUGUUAAGCUUUUAGAAUUAUGUGCUUUGUUCUAUAAAAACCAACAAAAUGAAUAACUAAUCCUCUGAGUCAAUGGGUCAUAAAAUUGGCAAUAGCUAGUGUAUUAUAAAUUAUAAGUAGAUUAUGGAUAGAUCAAUUAGGCAAACUCGACCCAAGUAACCAACAGUGAAGAUGGCCCAAUUAACACGAUAGUCAACCACCAAUCUAAAGCUACAUCACUUAAAAUAAAAACUUCCAAAAAUAAAAUAUAUUGUACGGAUGAGAUCUCAAAGGUGAGGGAAAAAAAAAAAAAG